RNAcentral lists this ribosomal RNA (936 nucleotides) under uncultured archaeon. RNAcentral describes it as "bacterial SSU rRNA". It matches the Rfam family "Archaeal small subunit ribosomal RNA", at positions 1 to 918 of the family's 1478-position model. The record is from RNAcentral.
UUCCGGUUGAUCCUGCCGGACCCCACUGCUAUCGGGGUGGGACUAAAACAUGCAAGUCGAGCGCCUCCAAGCUAUGGUGAAGGCGCGGCAAACGGCUCAGUAACACGUGGCCAACCUACCCUUGGGACGGAGACAACCCCGGGAAACUGGGGCUAAUCCCCGAUAAGUAAGGAAUCCUGGAAUGGAUCUUUGCUGAAAGGGCGUCUAGACCAUGCUUCUUGACGUCGCCCAAGGAUGGAGCCGCGACCGAUCAGGUAGUUGGCGAGGCAACGGCUCACCAAGCCUAUAACCGGUACGGGCCGUGAGAGCGGGAGCCCGGAGAUGGGCACUGAGACAAGGGCCCAGGCCCUACGGGGCGCAGCAGUUGCGAAAACUCCGCAAUGCGCGAAAGCGUGACGGGGCUACCCCGAGUGCCGCCCGUUGAGGGCGGCUUUUCCAUGGUGUAAGGAGCCGUGGGAAUAAGGAGAGGGCAAGACUGGUGUCAGCCGCCGCGGUAAUACCAGCUCUCCGAGUGGUGGGGACGAUUAUUGGGCUUAAAGCGUUCGUAGCCGGCUUAACAAGUCUUCCGUUAAAUCCAACGAUCUAAUCGUUGGGCUGCGGGAGAUACUGUUGGGCUAGGAGGCGGGAGAAGCCGACGGUAUUCUCGGGGUAGGGGUGAAAUCCUAUAAUCCCGGGAGGACCACCAGUGGCGAAGGCUGUCGGCUAGAACGUGCUCGACGGUGAGGGAUGAAAGCUGGGGGAGCGAACCGGAUUAGAUACCCGGGUAGUCCCAGCUGUAAACGAUGCGGGCUAGGUGUUGGGGUGGCCACGAGCCACUUCAGUGCCGCAUGGAAGCAAUUAAGCCCGCCGCCUGGGGAGUACGGCCGCAAGGCUGAACUUAAAGGAAUUGGCGGGGGAGCACCACAAGCGUGAAGCUUGCGUUUAAUGACUCAACGC